RNAcentral lists this unclassified non-coding RNA (266 nucleotides) under uncultured fungus. Its description in RNAcentral is "sequence contains ITS1". Lineage: Eukaryota; Fungi. The record is from RNAcentral.
AAAAAUUAACAAAUUUCCCGCGGUUGUCGUCACCUCUGCGCUGCCAUUGGGCGGACGCAGGGAACUUGAUCCGGCAACCACGGGAGGGCUUCGGCUCACAUCUUGUGAACUGUACCGUCUUUGGUGGUGGGGUGGGCAUGGCAGUAUGUUGUGUUCCAUCUGUCAGCUUGGGCUGCAAGGUCCGGGCCGUGGACAAGCCACCGCAUGUUUUCAAACAUUUUCUUUCUUUUUUUGUCUGACAUUUUUGACUUGUAUCAAUAUACAAA